Molecule: ribosomal RNA, 488 nt
Filed under: uncultured bacterium
Lineage: Bacteria
Description: bacterial SSU rRNA
Rfam family: Bacterial small subunit ribosomal RNA
Source: RNAcentral
AUUGAACGCUGGCGGCAGGCCUAACACAUGCAAGUCGAGCGGAAACGAUCCUAGCUUGCUAGGAGGCGUCGAGCGGCGGACGGGUGAGUAACGCGUGAGAAUCUACCCAUGAGUGGGGGACAACCCGGGGAAACUCGGGCUAAUACCGCAUACGCCCUACGGGGUAAAGCAGGGGACCUUCGGGCCUUGCGCUGAUGGAUGAGCUCGCGUCGGAUUAGCUUGUUGGUGAGGUAAAGGCUCACCAAGGCGACGAUCCGUAGCUGGUCUGAGAGGAUGAUCAGCCACACCGGGACUGAGACACGGCCCGGACUCCUACGGGAGGCAGCAGUGGGGAAUCUUGGACAAUGGGGGCGACCCUGAUCCAGCCAUGCCGCGUGUGUGAAGAAGGCCUUCGGGUUGUAAAGCACUUUCAGCAGGGAGGAAGGCUUACCCCUAAUACGGGUGAGUACUUGACGUUACCUGCAGAAGAAGCACCGGCUAAUUUCGUG